AAAGACAAGUAGAAGCACCCGCUUCUCACCUGUUCGACGCACGUUUCGUGUAGUUGACUGGUUCCAAAUUUAUUAUGUGUAAUUGGAAUGUGUGGGUGUAUUACCGACACUUUUUUUCAUGU
Molecule: regulatory RNA element, 122 nt
Organism: Bacilli bacterium VT-13-104
Lineage: Bacteria; Bacillati; Bacillota; Bacilli
Rfam family: Ribosomal protein L20 leader
About the family: This family is a putative r-protein leader autoregulatory structure found in B. subtilis and other low-GC Gram-positive bacteria. It is located in the 5' untranslated regions of mRNAs encoding initiation factor 3 followed by ribosomal proteins L35 and L20 (infC-rpmI-rplT).
Source: Rfam